AUUGAACGCUGGCGGCAUGCUUUACACAUGCAAGUCGAACGGUAACAGCACUUCGGUGGCUGACGAGUGGCGAACGGGUGAGUAAUACAUCGGAACGUGCCUAGUAGUGGGGGAUAACUACUCGAAAGAGUAGCUAAUACCGCAUGAGAUCUAAGGAAGAAAGCAGGGGACCUUCGGGCCUUGCGCUACUAGAGCGGCUGAUGGCAGAUUAGGUAGUUGGUGGGAUAAAAGCUUACCAAGCCGACGAUCUGUAGCUGGUCUGAGAGGACGACCAGCCACACUGGGACUGAGACACGGCCCAGACUCCUACGGGAGGCAGCAGUGGGGAAUUUUGGACAAUGGGCGCAAGCCUGAUCCAGCAAUGCCGCGUGCAGGAUGAAGGCCUUCGGGUUGUAAACUGCUUUUGUACGGAACGAAAAGCCCUCUUCUAAUACAGGAGGGUCAUGACGGUACCGUAAGAAUAAGCACCGGCUAACUACGUG
This 482-nucleotide ribosomal RNA is filed under the name uncultured bacterium. RNAcentral describes it as "partial 16S ribosomal RNA". It matches the Rfam family "Bacterial small subunit ribosomal RNA", at positions 30 to 507 of the family's 1533-position model. The record is from RNAcentral.